Molecule: unclassified non-coding RNA, 241 nt
Filed under: Hevea brasiliensis (rubber tree)
Lineage: Eukaryota; Viridiplantae; Streptophyta; Magnoliopsida; Malpighiales; Euphorbiaceae
Source: RNAcentral
GGAGACUCUUGUGAUAUUCAAAAGGUGAAAGUUUUUGAAGCUAAAUACUGGAGAUUUUGAGUUUUAUGAGAAAGGGGUUUUGAUAUUUUCUUUUGGUAAAGAUGCAUAAAUCGGCAGUGUAUAAAGGGGAGGAGUUACUUGGAGAAGUAGAAAUAUAUCCACAACAGCAACAAGAAGGAGAAGAAGAGAAUCACAACAACAAGAAGAGAGUGAUAGAUGAGAUAUUGACGGGGAAGGAAAU